This is a long non-coding RNA of Argentina anserina (silverweed cinquefoil), 577 nucleotides long. RefSeq lists it as uncharacterized. The transcript has 4 exons. Lineage: Eukaryota; Viridiplantae; Streptophyta; Magnoliopsida; Rosales; Rosaceae. The record is from RefSeq and is a predicted model, not a curated record.
GGGAUGCAGAUGUGAGGGCUGAACCUUAGAGAUAGGCUGCUGACUGCCAAACGAGGACAAUUGUUCAUGUUGCCUUUCAACUCAGGUGAUCAUUGGGUAUUGACGGUUAUUAACCUGGAACAAGCCAAUGCCUAUUUCAUGGAUCCCAUGAAACGAGGCUUACCUGCUCAAGAUCGGGUGAAAAUUGUGAACAAAUAAGUCUAGAAAUUAUUGAUUUUCCUUACAUUAUUCUGAGAUAGAGUUUAGCUUUAUCAUAUGGUUAUUAUUAUUGUUAUGGUCUAGUGCAAUUGGAAUGUAUUAUAUGGCAAAGACCGGGGAUAGCGAGCGUCAAAUCCAUUGAGAAGUUUUGAGUAGAAUUCCUCCACAACCUACUGGGACAUUACAGUGUGGUUACUUUGUCAUGCGAUACAUGAGAGACAUCAUUGAGUACAAAGACCUGUCAAUGUUUGCUAUUAAGAUACAUCACGUCUACAGGGAGCAUCUCGAAGGAAUGAUUUUUUUGAAGGACGUGUUUGUUAAAGGUCAUGAUGCAAUGCCAAUUAAAUAAACAUCAGUUUCCGAAAAUGUUUCACAUAAG